This 484-nucleotide ribosomal RNA is filed under the name uncultured bacterium. RNAcentral describes it as "partial 16S ribosomal RNA". It matches the Rfam family "Bacterial small subunit ribosomal RNA", at positions 30 to 507 of the family's 1533-position model. The record is from RNAcentral.
AUUGAACGCUGGCGGCAGGCCUAACACAUGCAAGUCGAGCGGAUGAAGGGAGCUUGCUCCUGGAUUCAGCGGCGGACGGGUGAGUAAUGCCUAGGAAUCUGCCUGGUAGUGGGGGAUAACGUCCGGAAACGGGCGCUAAUACCGCAUACGUCCUGAGGGAGAAAGUGGGGGAUCUUCGGACCUCACGCUAUCAGAUGAGCCUAGGUCGGAUUAGCUAGUUGGUGGGGUAAAGGCCUACCAAGGCGACGAUCCGUAACUGGUCUGAGAGGAUGAUCAGUCACACUAGAACGUGGACACGGUCCAUGCUACUAAGGGAGGCAGCAGUCGGGAAUAUUGGACAACGGUCGAGAGUCUUAUACAGUGAUGCGGCGUGUGUUAAGAAGGUCUUCGGAGUGGAAAGAACGCUAAGUUGGUGGGAAGGGCAGUAAGUUAAUACGUUGCUGUUUUGACGUUACCAGCAGAAGAAGCACCGGCUAACUUCGUG